RNAcentral lists this unclassified non-coding RNA (165 nucleotides) under soil metagenome. RNAcentral's name for it is "partial internal transcribed spacer 1". The record is from RNAcentral.
CAGAGUUGCAAAACUCCCUAAACCAUUGUGAACGCUACCUCUAAACCGUUGCUUCGGCGGGCGGCCAGGGCUCCCGGCGCCCUCGGCCCUCGCGGGCGCCCGCCGGAGGAUAACCAAACUCUUGACAUUAGUGGCCUCUCUGAGUAUUCUGUACUGAAUAAGUCA